GAAUAUUGCACAAUGGGGGCAACCCUGAUGCAGCGACGCCGCGUGGGUGACGAAGGUCUUCGGAUCGUAAAGCCCUUUUCUGCGUGACGAGCAAGGACGGUAGCGCAGGAAUAAGUCUCGGCUAACUACGUGCCAGCAGCCGCGGUAAAACGUAGGAGACGAACGUUAUCCGGAGUUACUGGGCGUAAAGGGCGUGCAGGCGGCUGAUUAAGUCUGUUGUGAAACACUCCGGCUCAACCGGGGAAGGGCGAUAGAUACUGGUCAGCUCGAGGGCGGUAGAGGCGUGUGGAAUUCCGGGUGUAGUGGUGAAAUGCGUAGAUAUCCGGAGGAACACCAGUGGCGAAGGCGACACGCUGGGCCGCACCUGACGCUAAGACGCGACAGCAUGGGGAGCGAACGGG
Molecule: ribosomal RNA, 401 nt
Filed under: uncultured bacterium
Lineage: Bacteria
Description: bacterial SSU rRNA
Rfam family: Bacterial small subunit ribosomal RNA
Source: RNAcentral